Gadus chalcogrammus (walleye pollock) is the source of this 192-nucleotide long non-coding RNA. RefSeq lists it as uncharacterized. The transcript is spliced from 3 exons. Lineage: Eukaryota; Metazoa; Chordata; Actinopteri; Gadiformes; Gadidae. The record is from RefSeq and is a predicted model, not a curated record.
GGCGGGUCGUAUUUGUCGCUGGGUAGACCUGUUUGUUUUCGGUCGGUAUUACUUAAGCGUAUUAUAUCGCAAAUCCGGCGGAGAUGUUGGGGGAGAAUUUACUUUGCGAUGGGUUCUUUGAUAAGUGCUCAAAAACCCAUCCCCGGAAUCAGGCCUGAUACCGGGAGAAGACGUUUCGACUUACUGAACCUG